RNAcentral lists this transfer RNA (82 nucleotides) under Microbacterium phage Cece. RNAcentral describes it as "tRNA-Trp". The record is from RNAcentral. Lineage: Duplodnaviria; Heunggongvirae; Uroviricota; Caudoviricetes.
AUCGGAUGUGGUGCGCUGGGCGCACGGUGGCCUCCAAAACCACUUGAUAAGUUCCACGGGGUUCGAUUCCUCCAUCCGGUGC